RNAcentral lists this transfer RNA (77 nucleotides) under Candidatus Omnitrophota bacterium. RNAcentral's name for it is "Candidatus Omnitrophica bacterium tRNA-Lys". It matches the Rfam family "tRNA". From Rfam's summary of the family: Transfer RNA (tRNA) molecules are approximately 80 nucleotides in length. RNAcentral also lists the same sequence under 1 other name. Lineage: Bacteria; Pseudomonadati; Candidatus Omnitrophota. The record is from RNAcentral.
GCGCCGUUAGCUCAAUUUGGUAGAGCAGCGGACUCUUAAUCCGUUGGUUGAAGGUUCGAGUCCUUCACGGCGUACCA